This is a non-coding RNA of Sphingomonadales bacterium GWF1_63_6, 76 nucleotides long. Lineage: Bacteria; Pseudomonadati; Pseudomonadota; Alphaproteobacteria; Sphingomonadales. The record is from Rfam.
CAAACUCGCCUUUCAGGCAUCCUCUCCUAAAACUUUUACGGGCUGGUCUUCGGAUCGGCCCUUUUUUUGUCCAGCG